AAUCUCCACAUGACGAAAGUCUGAUGGAGCAACGCCGCGUGAGUGAAGAAGGGUUUCGGCUCGUAAAGCUCUGUUGGUAGUGAAGAAAGAUAGAGGUAGUAACUGGCCUUUAUUUGACGGUAAUUACUUAGAAAGUCACGGCUAACUACGUGCC
Molecule: ribosomal RNA, 154 nt
Filed under: uncultured bacterium
Lineage: Bacteria
Description: partial 16S ribosomal RNA
Rfam family: Bacterial small subunit ribosomal RNA
Source: RNAcentral